This 1385-nucleotide ribosomal RNA is filed under the name Pedobacter heparinus. RNAcentral describes it as "bacterial SSU rRNA". It matches the Rfam family "Bacterial small subunit ribosomal RNA". Lineage: Bacteria; Pseudomonadati; Bacteroidota; Sphingobacteriia; Sphingobacteriales; Sphingobacteriaceae. The record is from RNAcentral.
CAAGUCGAACGAUACUUGGUAGCUUGCUAUCAAGGAAAGUGGCGCACGGGUGCGUAACGCGUAUGCAACCUACCUUAAUCAGGGGGAUAGCCCGAAGAAAUUCGGAUUAACACCGCAUAAAAACACAGGAUAGCAUUAUCCAAUGUUCAAAUAUUUAUAGGGUUAAGAUGGGCAUGCGUGUCAUUAGCUAGUUGGCGGGGUAACGGCCCACCAAGGCGACGAUGACUAGGGGAUCUGAGAGGAUGACCCCCCACACUGGUACUGAGACACGGACCAGACUCCUACGGGAGGCAGCAGUAAGGAAUAUUGGUCAAUGGAGGCAACUCUGAACCAGCCAUGCCGCGUGCAGGAAGACAGCCCUCUGGGUCGUAAACUGCUUUUAUUCGGGAAUAAACCUUAUUACGUGUAAUAAGCUGAAUGUACCGAAGGAAUAAGGAUCGGCUAACUCCGUGCCAGCAGCCGCGGUAAUACGGAGGAUCCAAGCGUUAUCCGGAUUUAUUGGGUUUAAAGGGUGCGUAGGCGGCCUGUUAAGUCAGGGGUGAAAGACGGUAGCUCAACUAUCGCAGUGCCCUUGAUACUGACGGGCUUGAAUACACUAGAGGUAGGCGGAAUGUGACAAGUAGCGGUGAAAUGCAUAGAUAUGUCACAGAACACCGAUUGCGAAGGCAGCUUACUAUGGUGUGAUUGACGCUGAGGCACGAAAGCGUGGGGAUCAAACAGGAUUAGAUACCCUGGUAGUCCACGCCCUAAACGAUGAAUACUCGCUGUUAGCGAUAUACAGUUAGCGGCUAAGCGAAAGCGUUAAGUAUUCCACCUGGGGAGUACGCCCGCAAGGGUGAAACUCAAAGGAAUUGACGGGGGCCCGCACAAGCGGAGGAGCAUGUGGUUUAAUUCGAUGAUACGCGAGGAACCUUACCCGGGCUUGAAAGUUAGUGAAUUAUCUAGAGAUAGAUAAGUGAGCAAUCACACGAAACUAGGUGCUGCAUGGCUGUCGUCAGCUCGUGCCGUGAGGUGUUGGGUUAAGUCCCGCAACGAGCGCAACCCCUAUGUUUAGUUGCCAGCACGUUAAGGUGGGGACUCUAAACAGACUGCCUGUGCAAACAGAGAGGAAGGAGGGGACGACGUCAAGUCAUCAUGGCCCUUACGUCCGGGGCUACACACGUGCUACAAUGGAUGGUACAGAGGGCAGCAAGCUGGCAACAGCAAGCGAAUCUCAAAAAGCCAUUCACAGUUCGGAUAGAGGUCUGCAACUCGACCUCUUGAAGUUGGAUUCGCUAGUAAUCGCGUAUCAGCAAUGACGCGGUGAAUACGUUCCCGGGCCUUGUACACACCGCCCGUCAAGCCAUGGAAGUUGGGGGUACCUAAAGUACGUAACCGCAAGGAGC